GUUGUCUUUUGAUGUGUGCUCAUAUGCAUUCACAGACUGUACAUACAUAUAGAUAAUUUAGUCAAUGCUUUCAGCUGAAAAUGCUGGAAUUAGAUUUUGGUGCUUGAAAACAUUUUGCAUGAAUUUUCUGAGUGAUGACAUGAAUAAAAUACUUCAUUAGCGUCUGAGAUUGUUUUAGUAAUUUGAUUUUUGAAAUUGAGAUAUUAGAAUGUUGUGGUGAUAGUGUAUUGGUGCUUAUAAUAUCUUGCAGACGCAAUAUACUUGAGAAGAAG
This 272-nucleotide unclassified non-coding RNA is filed under the name Hevea brasiliensis (rubber tree). Lineage: Eukaryota; Viridiplantae; Streptophyta; Magnoliopsida; Malpighiales; Euphorbiaceae. The record is from RNAcentral.